RNAcentral lists this ribosomal RNA (468 nucleotides) under uncultured bacterium. RNAcentral describes it as "partial 16S ribosomal RNA". It matches the Rfam family "Bacterial small subunit ribosomal RNA", at positions 28 to 507 of the family's 1533-position model. The record is from RNAcentral.
GACGAACGCUGGCGGCGUGCUUAACACAUGCAAGUCGAACGGAAAGGCCCUGCUUUUGUGGGGUGCUCGAGUGGCGAACGGGUGAGUAACACGUGAGUAACCUGCCCUUGACUUUGGGAUAACUUCAGGAAACUGGGGCUAAUACCGGAUAGGAGCUCCUGCUGCAUGGUGGGGGUUGGAAAGUUUCGGCGGUUGGGGAUGGACUCGCGGCUUAUCAGCUUGUUGGUGGGGUAGUGGCUUACCAAGGCUUCGACGGGUAGCCGGCCUGAGAGGGUGACCGGCCACAUUAGGACUGAGAUACGGCCCAGACUCCAAUGGUAGGCAACGGUGGGGAAUAUUGCACAGUGAGCGGGAGCCUGAUGCGACAACGCCGCGUGCGGGAAGACGGCCUGCGGGUAGUAAACCGCAUCCGCCUGUGACGAAGCGUGAGUGACGGUAACGGGUGAAGAAGCACCGGCUAACUACGUG